AACCAGCACCCUCGAGUGGUCAGGAGGUUUAUUGGGCCUAAAGCAUCCGUAGCCGGUUGCAUAAGUUUUCGGCUAAAUCUAUGCGCUUAACGUAUAGGCCGCCGAAAAUACUGUGCAGCUAGGGAGUGGGAGAGGUACACGGUACUCGAUAGGAAGGGUAAAUACCGUUUAGAUUCUAUUUGAUUGACCACCUGUGGCGAAGGCGGUGUACCAGAACAGUUCCGACGGUGAGGGAUGAAAGCUGGGGGGANC
Molecule: ribosomal RNA, 252 nt
Filed under: uncultured bacterium
Lineage: Bacteria
Description: partial 16S ribosomal RNA
Rfam family: Archaeal small subunit ribosomal RNA
Source: RNAcentral